RNAcentral lists this ribosomal RNA (329 nucleotides) under uncultured bacterium. RNAcentral describes it as "bacterial SSU rRNA". It matches the Rfam family "Bacterial small subunit ribosomal RNA", at positions 568 to 898 of the family's 1533-position model. The record is from RNAcentral.
CGCGUAGGCGGGAAUAUUAGUCAAGCGUGAAAGCCCCAGGCUUAACCUGGGAAUUGCGCCUGAAACGGUAUACCUAGAGGACGAGAGAGGAAAGCGGAAUUCCUAGUGUAGAGGUGAAAUUCGUAGAUAUUAGGAGGAACAUCAGAGGCGAAGGCGGCUUUCUGGCUCGUUACUGACGCUGAGGCGCGAAAGCGUGGGGAGCAAACAGGAUUAGAUACCCUGGUAGUCCACGCCGUAAACUAUGAGUGCUAGACGUUGGUCCUUUCAGGAUCAGUGUCGGAGCUAACGCAAUAAGCACUCCGCCUGAGUAGUACGGUCGCAAGAUUAAA